UACGGAGGGGGCAAGCGUUAUUCGGAAUUAUUGGGCGUAAAGGGCGCGUAGGCGGCUAGAUGUGUCAAAGGUGAAAUCCCUCGGCUCAACUGAGGAACUGCCUUUGAAACUGUCUGGCUUGAGGCCGGGAGAGGGUAGCGGAAUUCCCAGUGUAGCGGUGAAAUGCGUAGAUAUUGGGAGGAACACCAGUGGCGAAGGCGGCCAACUGGUCCGAUACUGACGCUGAGGCGCGAAAGCGUGGGGAGCAAACAGG
This 253-nucleotide ribosomal RNA is filed under the name uncultured bacterium. RNAcentral's name for it is "partial 16S ribosomal RNA". It matches the Rfam family "Bacterial small subunit ribosomal RNA", at positions 524 to 776 of the family's 1533-position model. The record is from RNAcentral.